AGAAAAAGGAGACAAGCAUAGAUCGAGCCUCCAAAGAUGCAGACAAUUUGAAUCCAAACACAGCCUCCAGCCCAAGGACUUGGGUUCGAGCCCAGUCGGCGUGAAUAGCCCAAGUCCCAUGCUCUAUUCAAAAGGGCUUUUAUUCCCUAAACUAUAUUAAGAGGCAGCCCAUGAGUUUAAUCACAAGCAGGUUAUCUAAGACUAAUUUCACUAGCAAUUGAAAAUACUUGAUUUAAUACACUAAUUGAACCAACUGCUUCUUUAUUACCAAAUCAAGUUUCAAUCAUGUUCCCAAUUCUAUAUUUUUAAACAAACGAACUGUUAAUUAAGGGGGAUCGGUUGAUUUCAAUAUCAAUUCACGAAAACCUUCUUUAUACAAUGACUACGAAUAAUUUCUAAUUCAAUAAACCCAAAAGUCUCAUUUCACCUACCGAUUUUUUAUUCACAUAAUUAAUCAAGUCUAAACAAUCUCAUUAUUUUCCAAGUUUCACUUUGAAAUUCCAAAAAUAUAGAUUAAAAAAACCAACAGUCACUAGCUAACAAACUUUGUCAACUACAGAUUCACCAUCACCAGAACUCGAUUCUUCAGCUAACACUCACAUGUAAAAUUCAUAGCCCCCAAAACUAUAAAUAAUAUAAGAGUCCAAAUGAAAAUUGUAAAGUCCAAAAUUAACAAACUAAAGCAGACAUUCGGAGAAUCGGUAUCCACUACUUCGACAAGGAUUUCAAUUCAAACCAUUUAACAGGCCAUCGUUACCAUGAUUCUACAACUUUACAACUGCAAAUGAAUUCAUACAAAGCUAUAAAAUUCAUCAGCUAACACUCACAUGUAAAAUUCAUAGCCCCCAAAACUAUAAAUAAUAUAAGAGUCCAAAUGAAAAUUGUAAAGUCCAAAAUUAACAAACUAAAGCAGACAUUCGGAGAAUCGGUAUCCACUACUUCGACAAGGAUUUCAAUUCAAACCAUUUAACAGGCCAUCGUUACCAUGAUUCUACAACUUUACAACUGCAAAUGAAUUCAUACAAAGCCAAUUGAAAUUAUAAUGCUAAUGUAACUAUGAAACAGUCAAGAACAGACACUCAAAACACAUAAAACUCCAAGUCACUUCUUAUUUCAGCUUCAGAUUCAUAUCUACAUGUCAUUGAGUUCAAAAUAGUACCUGGAAAUAGAAAAUUCAAUAGAGAGGAUAGUCAGCAACAAUUAUAGAGCAGUAGGAUGAAGAAGUUCACGCAACCACAGUUGCAAAAGAAUCAACAGCAACACUAAGUAGCCCAGGACUUCAGAACAAUAACCCAGAACUUUGAAACCCAACGAAAAACCUCAAAAACCAGGAGAAAUAACUCCAAACAAGUUCAAAACAAACCCCAGACCAGACUAUAAAUAGAACACCAAAAGAAAACCCAGAAGCUGCUCACAAUCAAUGAAACAGUGAAUAUAUUUUUUCUAUUUUUUGUAUGUAUUUUUGGUAUUUUUGUGUAUUUUAAAUGCUAAAACUUAUCUGAAUCUAAAAAUGAAAGGAAAAUCGGGUUUCUUAUGGAAUUGUUUUUUGAGCUCAAAGUUGAAGACCUCUUUCCAAGGCAUCUAAUUAUAAACAAAUAAGGGGAACACUCAGAUUUUCUUUUACACUCACAGCCCCUAAUCAUUUUCAUCUUAAAACCCUUAUUUUAUGACUUGCUACUCAAGUUACUGCCCUAAGUCUAUUGAAAACUACACUAAGGUCCUAUUCUAGAAGCCUCUAGGGUACUCUUUGAGCAAGGCAAUCCCUAAACUAUCCUUCCCUUGUUUUAAAAUUACUAAACCUAAAGAUUCUACCAUUUUCUAUGCCUAAAAGGCCCAUCUGGAAUUACCGACUGAAUCAAUCCUCAAUUAACCUCAAACCUCUUACCCUUAGUUAAACUAACUAAGGUCAACUGGAGAAUUGUUCAGCUAUAACCAACCUAAUUAUUCAUUAACACUAACACAGAUUAGCCCUAAAUGAAACCAAUUCCCAAACCAAUUCCAAAUCCCAAAUUUCAAUGAGCCUAAUUAACUAAUGAACCCAAACUAAUUAACAAGCGACAGUAAUUAUAAGAUGAGAAUCGACUUAAGCUAACAGUUAACAGAGAAUCAAUAAUUAGACUAGAAGAAACAGAACAGUUCAUGUAAGUAUUCAACAGGCAUAUUGUUAACCCGACUUAUUCGACUAAUAUUAUCUAUGAACGACGUUAAAAUGCGAUCGAUAAAAAACUAAUCCGACUAAAUAACUAUGUUAACUAUAAAUCAAAAACUGUUAAAAAAAACCUACUGCCAAAGACGAUUAAGUUGGCCACACUUAAGAACACUAAUUAAAGUCACUUAAUCAAAAUUCUAAGCUAAAACAAACAAAAUCAGACUAAAUAACAUUUCCACAACCAAUCGAAGAAACAGAGAAGAAGAAGAAGAAGAAGAAGAAGAAGAAGAAGAAGAAGAAGAAGAAGAAGAAGAAGAGGAAAUUAUUAAACCAUACAAACUAAAGUCGUAAUGCUAAAGAGAAACUCACCGUAAAAGAAAAUCCACAAACAACUAAAAGUGACGAACCCUAGAUGGACUUGAAGGCGGCCCGUUGAUAUUUGAAGUGAAAUGAUCAUAGACUCGAGACGAGGAAGACCCAAAGACAAACCAUUAUCAAUUUGGUCUUGAUUGGACGAGCUUGAGACUUGGCUGCCAAUUUCGAUUUGAUUUUUGAAGCUUUUGGUUGAUAUUCGAUGGCUAAUGUUUGCAUAUUUAGAAUGAGGGGGUCAAAGUAGUUCAGGGGUGUGAUCUUGGGAGGGAUUGAAGGUGGCACCGCCACCGGCGGCUUGGGAAUUUAGGGCGGCGUUCAUUAAGGUUCAUAAGGGGGGGAGGUCUGAGAAGAAGAUGAGAGU
Molecule: long non-coding RNA, 2882 nt
Filed under: Nicotiana benthamiana
Lineage: Eukaryota; Viridiplantae; Streptophyta; Magnoliopsida; Solanales; Solanaceae
Description: long non-coding RNA (NBEN_LNC027965)
Source: RNAcentral